GAUGAACGCCGGCGGCGUGCCUAAUACAUGCAAGUCGAGCGAACGGACGAGAAGCUUGCUUCUCUGAUGUUAGCGGCGGACGGGUGAGUAACACGUGGAUAACCUACCUAUAAGACUGGGAUAACUUCGGGAAACCGGAGCUAAUACCGGAUAAUAUUUUGAACCGCAUGGUUCAAAAGUGAAAGACGGUCUUGCUGUCACUUAUAGAUGGAUCCGCGCUGCAUUAGCUAGUUGGUAAGGUAACGGCUUACCAAGGCAACGAUGCAUAGCCGACCUGAGAGGGUGAUCGGCCACACUGGAACUGAGACACGGUCCAGACUCCUACGGGAGGCAGCAGUAGGGAAUCUUCCGCAAUGGGCGAAAGCCUGACGGAGCAACGCCGCGUGAGUGAUGAAGGUCUUCGGAUCGUAAAACUCUGUUAUUAGGGAAGAACAUAUGUGUAAGUAACUGUGCACAUCUUGACGGUACCUAAUCAGAAAGCCACGGCUAACUACGUGCCAGCAGCCGCGGUAAUACGUAGGUGGCAAGCGUUAUCCGGAAUUAUUGGGCGUAAAGCGCGCGUAGGCGGUUUUUUAAGUCUGAUGUGAAAGCCCACGGCUCAACCGUGGAGGGUCAUUGGAAACUGGAAAACUUGAGUGCAGAAGAGGAAAGUGGAAUUCCAUGUGUAGCGGUGAAAUGCGCAGAGAUAUGGAGGAACACCAGUGGCGAAGGCGACUUUCUGGUCUGUAACUGACGCUGAUGUGCGAAAGCGUGGGGAUCAAACAGGAUUAGAUACCCUGAUAGUCCACGCCGUAAACGAUGAGUGCUAAGUGUUAGGGGGUUUCCGCCCCUUAGUGCUGCAGCUAACGCAUUAAGCACUCCGCCUGGGGAGUACGACCGCAAGGUUGAAACUCAAAGGAAUUGACGGGGACCCGCACAAGCGGUGGAGCAUGUGGUUUAAUUCGAAGCAACGCGAAGAACCUUACCAAAUCUUGACAUCCUUUGACAACUCUAGAGAUAGAGCUUUCCCCUUCGGGGGACAAAGUGACAGGUGGUGCAUGGUUGUCGUCAGCUCGUGUCGUGAGAUGUUGGGUUAAGUCCCGCAACGAGCGCAACCCUUAAGCUUAGUUGCCAUCAUUAAGUUGGGCACUCUAAGUUGACUGCCGGUGACAAACCGGAGGAAGGUGGGGACGACGUCAAAUCAUCAUGCCCCUUAUGAUUUGGGCUACACACGUGCUACAAUGGACAAUACAAAGGGCAGCGAAACCGCGAGGUCAAGCAAAUCCCAUAAAGUUGUUCUCAGUUCGGAUUGUAGUCUGCAACUCGACUACAUGAAGCUGGAAUCGCUAGUAAUCGUAGAUCAGCAUGCUACGGUGAAUACGUUCCCGGGUCU
Molecule: ribosomal RNA, 1372 nt
Filed under: uncultured bacterium
Lineage: Bacteria
Description: bacterial SSU rRNA
Rfam family: Bacterial small subunit ribosomal RNA
Source: RNAcentral